AUGGGCCCUAUUGAUAUUCUUGAGGUUUUGAUGAAGCACCCCUUCUAUCCUAAUGCUAUUAUUGCAUACAUGAUUUUGUUAAUCAUUCUUGUAACUGUUGCAUCUGCGGAAAGGAGCUUUUCUAAACUCAAGUUGUUGAAACCGUACUUGCGUUCUACUAUGACACAAGAAAGACUGAAUGGUUUGGCAACAAUAGCACUUGAAAAUGAUGUAUUGGAGAAGAUUAAUUAUAAAGAUUUUAUUUCAAGGAACACAAGACGGAUGACACUUUUCAAUAGAGCAUGA
This 285-nucleotide ribosomal RNA is filed under the name Triticum aestivum (bread wheat). RNAcentral's name for it is "partial small subunit ribosomal RNA". The record is from RNAcentral. Lineage: Eukaryota; Viridiplantae; Streptophyta; Magnoliopsida; Poales; Poaceae.